GACGAACGCUGGCGGCGUGCUUAACACAUGCAAGUCGAACGGAGAAGCGAGUGCUUGCACUCGUGGAUCAGUGGCGAACGGGUGAGUAACACGUGAGUAACCUGCCCAUCACUCUGGGAUAAGCACUGGAAACGGUGUCUAAUACUGGAUACGAUCAACCCUUGCAUGGGGUGUUGGUGGAAAGAUUUAUCGGUGAUGGAUGGACUCGCGGCCUAUCAGCUUGUUGGCGGGGUAAUGGCCCACCAAGGCGACGACGGGUAGCCGGCAUGAGAGGGUGACCGGCCACACUGGGACUGAGACACGGCCCAGACGCCUACGGGAGGCAGCAGUGGGGAAUAUUGCACAAUGGGCGAAAGCCUGAUGCAGCGGCGCCGCGUGAGGGAUGACGGCCUUCGGGUUGUAAACCUCUUUCAGCGGGGAAGAAGCGAAAGUGACGGUACCUGCAGAAGAAGCACCGGCUAACUACGUG
This 469-nucleotide ribosomal RNA is filed under the name uncultured bacterium. RNAcentral describes it as "partial 16S ribosomal RNA". It matches the Rfam family "Bacterial small subunit ribosomal RNA", at positions 28 to 507 of the family's 1533-position model. The record is from RNAcentral.